GAGGGAUGGAGCAGUGGAAAGAGAUGGUGGCUGAGACCCGCCUGAGGAUUCACCAGGGAGCAGCCUCGACGACCUCAUCCAAGGACAGCCAGCCUGUCAGCAGGAAGGGUGGGGACCCGCAGAGCUAGGACCUCGCUGCCCGGCCAGCCUUUUUUUGCCUUCGAGAGAGGAAGAAAAGGGAUAGGAACGCCGGGACGGUGCAAGUCCACUAGGGCUGCGGCCGCCUUUACCUUUGUACGCCUAAGCGGUAGCACGGCGCGCGGCCCGCAAGGGCUGUUCCACUGCCCCCAGAGCCACUGGGUCCCGCGCGCCCCUGUGGCUUCCGCAGCCACUCCUGAGCCCGCUGCUGCUAAAAGAGGAUCCGGCUCAUCCCAACUCUUGAUUAUCCCAGAAGAGAGCUCCUAGCGUUGUAAGCGCUCACACAUGCUCUCCGCUCCUCUCUCUGCCUCUUAGGGGUAGGAACGAAUUUUGGGACACAUUCAAAUAUCCCAAGCCCCAAGUUCAGCCUGCUCUGGUCCCCAGGUCCCAGCCAGGUCCAGCUCUAACUGAUCUAGAGGAACAGCUAUGGCCUCACAGCAUCUCCAUGCUCCUCCUCGCUUUGUGUGCAAGACCCGGGAGUGUGGGGUAGAGUAGCCCUUGCUUUUGCAACUUAAUUAAGCUUUACUAUGUUUAAAGCACCUUUUUACUCUGCUGGGUAGACCUUUCUGCUCAACAUUCUUCAAAACAGGACUGGCAAGUGUCCUAGGAAGAUUCUCAGGGCUAGUAUCACUCACAACUGUAGAAAUUGGAACAUUUCAAAGAGGAAUUCAGGAUCUUUUUCUUGAAUUAAUUCAAAGCAGUCUUAGAAAAGUGAUUUUCUUCUCAAGAACAGUCACCAUGGUCAUCGAGGAUAAGCAAUAGCCAUCAGGAACCCAGGACAUGGUACAGAAUGCUCAGAAUUGGAAGUGACUAAUAGUAAAGUGAUCUAUAUUAUCAUCAUACUGGGCCAGGCCAUAUCAAGCUCCAUAUCAAGCUCCUACAACCAGGACUAGAGAAGUCUAAAUGACCCUUAGAGAAGGGGCUGUUACUUCUGUGUGUCUCUGCAAAGAAUCAGAGUCUUUUUGCUGUUGUUGCAAGAGUAGAAGAAACCACGGAUGUGGGAAAUUCAGAAUUUUUCAGCUAUACAAAAGGAAAAUCUUUUUAUGGUUCUUGUGAAGCUCACAGUUUUACUGCCAUGUAUAUUUAUUUAUAUAUUUCCUUAAAGCAUCUCAUUUAUUUUAGUUAUUAAAUUGUGUUUAUUUACUUGAGCUAUUAGAGGAAGUUUCUUUGAAUUAUAAAUUGUAUUCAAAGCCUUAAGGCACCCUAACUUAAAUUCAGAGGAUAUACACUUUUGUCCUUUUCUUAUACUAAAUUGAUCAUGAAGACAAGUACACAUGUACACAGUGGCAUUCUGUUUAUGGUGUGUGAUUGAAGGCCAUGAUGAAGUUAUAUAGUUGAUAUUUGAAAGCCCCUUAAAACAAAUUUAUCGCAGAAGUAAAAAUACAAUGAAAACAAUCCUAUAUGUUUUAUUACCAUGUUUUAUUAACAUUACUCUACAGCAGUAAUUUCUGAUAGUGGUAAAAUACUUUUGGUUUAUCGGAGACAGCUUUAGAACACAGGGAUGCUACAUGCCUGUCUUGUCGAUCUGGAUGAGUAUUCUAAAAUCUUCCUGUGGGAUCAAACAGGAGGACUCCAUUCUCCAGUAAUCUAACACUUAAGUGUGGCCCAUUCUUAAAAUAAUAUUUUUCACUGGAGUUUGGUUGCUUGGAACACUGAAUGGCUUACUCCUUGUAAGACAUAAUCCAAAAUCUGUCAGAGAUUUAUGGAAUUUCCACAUACACUCAGCAAGUGAAGAAUUUAUUCUCCAAUGUAUUUCUAUGUUACACAUGAUAUAGAAAGCUGCCUGGUCUAAUCUUGUCUGAGUUAAAUUUAAAUGUAUUUGCCAGAAUAAAAUUCCC
This 1976-nucleotide long non-coding RNA is filed under the name Mus spretus (western wild mouse). RNAcentral's name for it is "predicted gene 15939 (ENSMSPG00010021856.1)". Lineage: Eukaryota; Metazoa; Chordata; Mammalia; Rodentia; Muridae. The record is from RNAcentral.